GUGGGGAAUUUUGGACAAUGGGCGCAAGCCUGAUCCAGCAAUGCCGCGUGCAGGAAGAAGGCCUUCGGGUUGUAAACUGCUUUUGUCAGGGAAGAAAUCUUCUGGGCUAAUACCCCGGGAGGAUGACGGUACCUGAAGAAUAAGCACCGGCUAACUACGUGCCAGCAGCCGCGGUAAUACGUAGGGUGCGAGCGUUAAUCGGAAUUACUGGGCGUAAAGCGUGCGCAGGCGGCUUUGCAAGACAGAUGUGAAAUCCCCGGGCUCAACCUGGGAACUGCAUUUGUGACUGCAAGGCUAGAGUACGGCAGAGGGGGAUGGAAUUCCGCGUGUAGCAGUGAAAUGCGUAGAUAUGCGGAGGAACACCAAUGGCGAAGGCAAUCCCCUGGGCCUGUACUGACGCUCAUGCACGAAAGCGUGGGGAGCAAACAGGAUUAGAAACCCGAGUAGUCC
This 450-nucleotide ribosomal RNA is filed under the name uncultured bacterium. RNAcentral's name for it is "partial 16S ribosomal RNA". It matches the Rfam family "Bacterial small subunit ribosomal RNA", at positions 354 to 796 of the family's 1533-position model. The record is from RNAcentral.